CCUACGGGUGGCAGCAGUGAGGAAUAUUGGUCAAUGGGCGGAAGCCUGAACCAGCCAAGUAGCGUGCAGGAUGACGGCCCUACGGGUUGUAAACUGCUUUUAUACGGGAAUAACGCGCCUUACGUGUAGGGCUUUGCAUGUACCGUAUGAAUAAGGACCGGCUAAUUCCGUGCCAGCAGCCGCGGUAAUACGGAAGGUCCGGGCGUUAUCCGGAUUUAUUGGGUUUAAAGGGUGCGUAGGCGGUCCGGAAAGUCAGCGGUAAAAGCCCGGGGCUCAACCCCGGCGAGCCGUUGAAACUGUCGGACUAGAGACGGCGAGAAGUACGCGGAAUGCGCGGUGUAGCGGUGAAAUGCAUAGAUAUCGCGCAGAACUCCGAUUGCGAAGGCAGCGUACCGGCGCCGGACUGACGCUGAGGCACGAAAGCGUGGGUAUCGAACAGGAUUAGAUACCCCAGUAGUC
Molecule: ribosomal RNA, 459 nt
Filed under: uncultured bacterium
Lineage: Bacteria
Description: partial 16S ribosomal RNA
Rfam family: Bacterial small subunit ribosomal RNA
Source: RNAcentral